UUGGUUCAAUUAUUUUUCUUUCUUUAAUUGUGCAUCCGUGAAUUUUUUUCUAAAUAGUAUCCUUCCAUUCUCUUAUAAAUUGGAUGUUUAGUUAGAAUUAAAAAUCACACCAGAAUCAGAGAAUUCUUCUUCUAUAAUAUUGAGCGUAUUUCUUUAGAGUUUUAGAAAGCUUUGAGCGUAGAAAAUAGUGAAAGUUUUCUUCAAGAAUAUCUUCGCUAUACCAGUUGGAAUACUCUUCUUUUUAAGGUAAGAAUUGUUAUUUAUUUUAUAUUUUGAAAAAAAAUUAUUUUUCAUAUUCGUAUGAAUAUUAUUUGUUUAAUAUCCCUCAGAAAUAUUAUUUCAUUCGCGAUUUUUUUUUCCGUGGAGCAUUGAUGUUUCGAUUUAUAUUAUAUAUAUAAGGUAUGAUUACUUUGUUUAAGGAAUGAUAGUGGCUGAAUCCUGUUGCUUCAUGAAAGGUUAAUAUGAAGAUUAUAUAUAAAGGAUAAUAUAUGAUUUUCAUGGCAGUAAAUAUAUGAUUUGCAUGCCCACCAUGAUUAUAUAUAUAUAUAUAUAUAUAUAUAUAUAUAUAUAUAUAUAUAUAUAUAUCAUAUUAUAUUAAUUUGCAUCAUGUAAUUUAAUUUGCAUGUCCGUGAUCCGUGAUAUGUUGCUUCAUGAAAUGGUUUUGAUUUUCAACAAUUGUAAAGAUUAUUAUGUUUUUUUUUCAUAUUUUGAAAAAAAAUUAUUUUUUUAUAUUCGUAUGAAUAUUAUUAUCAUUCAAUAUUCAUUGUUUUCAUUUAAUAUUCGUAAGGAAUAUUAUAUUUGUUUAAUAUUCGUAAGAAAUAUUAUUUUCAUUUAAUAUUCGUAGGAAUAUUAUUUUCAUUCAAUAUUCGUAAGAAAUAUUAUUUUCGUUCAACGGUGGUAAGUGAUAUCAUUAUUAUGAAAAUGGAUAUUAUUUCAUUUUUAUAUAUAAUUUUUUUUAAAUCAGAAUCAAAAGGUGUUUAAUCUGAAGGAGAUGUUUUAAGACAAGCCCAACACUUUUGUGUACAAAUUGUAGACUUAAUUACCAUGAAUGAUAAUUAAAUGAUUAACAUUACUUUUUGAAGCUGACCACGGAUUUCAAGAUAUUUUUUUUAUGCAGUAUUCAGCAUCUUUUGUUAUGAUUGCUUUAGGAGAACUAUUAAUUGUUGGAGAAUUUGAUUGCUAUCCUUUGUUUAAGUAUAUUUUAUUGACAAGCAAUAGUAGGCGUACAAAGUAAUAAAUAUAUAUAUAUAUAUAUAUAUAUAUAUAUAUAUAUAUAAUAUAAAAUAAAACCUUAUCUUUUUGUCAAGUAGUAUAGCUACUGAAAUUAUUGUUUUCCCUAGUAUAUUACAAAAUUUCCAUAUAAACUAACAUGAAAGUUGAUGGUUAUUUUCCUUAUCUUUUACUACACUUGAUAAAGGAUGUUACGUGAGUUUUUAUUUAGGAAUAAGGAUUUUCUAUUUCGGCAAAUAUAGUUUUUAUCUGUUAUCACAUGAUCAAUCUGACAAUAAAUGUCGAGGGAAAAUGAAAUAGUUAAUCACGCAAUUACAAUCAAUUAAUGUUACAAAUAAUGUGGUAAAGGUUCUCUUUGGUUGGUAGUGCAAAGAUGGGUAUGUGUAUGACAUGAUCAUGACCACUGGUGAUACUAAUGAAUAUCUUUGGCCUGUAGUGCAGGGAUGAUUCGAUGAUAUGGAUUAAUUAUUGAACUGAG
This 1708-nucleotide long non-coding RNA is filed under the name Panax ginseng (ginseng). RNAcentral's name for it is "long non-coding RNA (PGIN_LNC000781)". Lineage: Eukaryota; Viridiplantae; Streptophyta; Magnoliopsida; Apiales; Araliaceae. The record is from RNAcentral.